This 2578-nucleotide ribosomal RNA is filed under the name Staphylococcus aureus M0007. RNAcentral describes it as "bacterial LSU rRNA". It matches the Rfam family "Bacterial large subunit ribosomal RNA", at positions 340 to 2925 of the family's 2925-position model. The record is from RNAcentral. Lineage: Bacteria; Bacillati; Bacillota; Bacilli; Caryophanales; Staphylococcaceae. RNAcentral also lists the same sequence under 46 other names.
AUCUGGAAAGAUGAAUCAAAGAAGGUAAUAAUCCUGUAGUCGAAAAUGUUGUCUCUCUUGAGUGGAUCCUGAGUACGACGGAGCACGUGAAAUUCCGUCGGAAUCUGGGAGGACCAUCUCCUAAGGCUAAAUACUCUCUAGUGACCGAUAGUGAACCAGUACCGUGAGGGAAAGGUGAAAAGCACCCCGGAAGGGGAGUGAAAUAGAACCUGAAACCGUGUGCUUACAAGUAGUCAGAGCCCGUUAAUGGGUGAUGGCGUGCCUUUUGUAGAAUGAACCGGCGAGUUACGAUUUGAUGCAAGGUUAAGCAGUAAAUGUGGAGCCGUAGCGAAAGCGAGUCUGAAUAGGGCGUUUAGUAUUUGGUCGUAGACCCGAAACCAGGUGAUCUACCCUUGGUCAGGUUGAAGUUCAGGUAACACUGAAUGGAGGACCGAACCGACUUACGUUGAAAAGUGAGCGGAUGAACUGAGGGUAGCGGAGAAAUUCCAAUCGAACCUGGAGAUAGCUGGUUCUCUCCGAAAUAGCUUUAGGGCUAGCCUCAAGUGAUGAUUAUUGGAGGUAGAGCACUGUUUGGACGAGGGGCCCCUCUCGGGUUACCGAAUUCAGACAAACUCCGAAUGCCAAUUAAUUUAACUUGGGAGUCAGAACAUGGGUGAUAAGGUCCGUGUUCGAAAGGGAAACAGCCCAGACCACCAGCUAAGGUCCCAAAAUAUAUGUUAAGUGGAAAAGGAUGUGGCGUUGCCCAGACAACUAGGAUGUUGGCUUAGAAGCAGCCAUCAUUUAAAGAGUGCGUAAUAGCUCACUAGUCGAGUGACACUGCGCCGAAAAUGUACCGGGGCUAAACAUAUUACCGAAGCUGUGGAUUGUCCUUUGGACAAUGGUAGGAGAGCGUUCUAAGGGCGUUGAAGCAUGAUCGUAAGGACAUGUGGAGCGCUUAGAAGUGAGAAUGCCGGUGUGAGUAGCGAAAGACGGGUGAGAAUCCCGUCCACCGAUUGACUAAGGUUUCCAGAGGAAGGCUCGUCCGCUCUGGGUUAGUCGGGUCCUAAGCUGAGGCCGACAGGCGUAGGCGAUGGAUAACAGGUUGAUAUUCCUGUACCACCUAUAAUCGUUUUAAUCGAUGGGGGGACGCAGUAGGAUAGGCGAAGCGUGCGAUUGGAUUGCACGUCUAAGCAGUAAGGCUGAGUAUUAGGCAAAUCCGGUACUCGUUAAGGCUGAGCUGUGAUGGGGAGAAGACAUUGUGUCUUCGAGUCGUUGAUUUCACACUGCCGAGAAAAGCCUCUAGAUAGAAAAUAGGUGCCCGUACCGCAAACCGACACAGGUAGUCAAGAUGAGAAUUCUAAGGUGAGCGAGCGAACUCUCGUUAAGGAACUCGGCAAAAUGACCCCGUAACUUCGGGAGAAGGGGUGCUCUUUAGGGUUAACGCCCAGAAGAGCCGCAGUGAAUAGGCCCAAGCGACUGUUUAUCAAAAACACAGGUCUCUGCUAAACCGUAAGGUGAUGUAUAGGGGCUGACGCCUGCCCGGUGCUGGAAGGUUAAGAGGAGUGGUUAGCUUCUGCGAAGCUACGAAUCGAAGCCCCAGUAAACGGCGGCCGUAACUAUAACGGUCCUAAGGUAGCGAAAUUCCUUGUCGGGUAAGUUCCGACCCGCACGAAAGGCGUAACGAUUUGGGCACUGUCUCAACGAGAGACUCGGUGAAAUCAUAGUACCUGUGAAGAUGCAGGUUACCCGCGACAGGACGGAAAGACCCCGUGGAGCUUUACUGUAGCCUGAUAUUGAAAUUCGGCACAGCUUGUACAGGAUAGGUAGGAGCCUUUGAAACGUGAGCGCUAGCUUACGUGGAGGCGCUGGUGGGAUACUACCCUAGCUGUGUUGGCUUUCUAACCCGCACCACUUAUCGUGGUGGGAGACAGUGUCAGGCGGGCAGUUUGACUGGGGCGGUCGCCUCCUAAAAGGUAACGGAGGCGCUCAAAGGUUCCCUCAGAAUGGUUGGAAAUCAUUCAUAGAGUGUAAAGGCAUAAGGGAGCUUGACUGCGAGACCUACAAGUCGAGCAGGGUCGAAAGACGGACUUAGUGAUCCGGUGGUUCCGCAUGGAAGGGCCAUCGCUCAACGGAUAAAAGCUACCCCGGGGAUAACAGGCUUAUCUCCCCCAAGAGUUCACAUCGACGGGGAGGUUUGGCACCUCGAUGUCGGCUCAUCGCAUCCUGGGGCUGUAGUCGGUCCCAAGGGUUGGGCUGUUCGCCCAUUAAAGCGGUACGCGAGCUGGGUUCAGAACGUCGUGAGACAGUUCGGUCCCUAUCCGUCGUGGGCGUAGGAAAUUUGAGAGGAGCUGUCCUUAGUACGAGAGGACCGGGAUGGACAUACCUCUGGUGUACCAGUUGUCGUGCCAACGGCAUAGCUGGGUAGCUAUGUGUGGACGGGAUAAGUGCUGAAAGCAUCUAAGCAUGAAGCCCCCCUCAAGAUGAGAUUUCCCAACUUCGGUUAUAAGAUCCCUCAAAGAUGAUGAGGUUAAUAGGUUCGAGGUGGAAGCAUGGUGACAUGUGGAGCUGACGAAUACUAAUCGAUCGAAGACUUAAUCAA